RNAcentral lists this ribosomal RNA (449 nucleotides) under uncultured bacterium. RNAcentral's name for it is "partial 16S ribosomal RNA". It matches the Rfam family "Bacterial small subunit ribosomal RNA", at positions 354 to 796 of the family's 1533-position model. The record is from RNAcentral.
GUCGAGAAUCUUUCACAAUGGGGGCAACCCUGAUGGAGCGACGCCGCGUGGAGGAUAAGGUCUUCGGAUUGUAAACUCCUGUCAUGCGUGAACAAGGUUGCUUGGAUAAUACCUGAGCAAAUUGAUGGUAGCGCAAGAGGAAGAGACGGCUAACUCUGUGCCAGCAGCCGCGGUAAUACAGAGAUCUCAAGCGUUGUUCGGAAUCACUGGGCGUAAAGGGUGCGUAGGUGGCGUGGCAAGUCAGAUGUGAAAGCCCGGGGCUCAACCUCGGAACUGCAUCCGAUACUGCCAUGCUAGAGUACUGGAGGGGUGACUAGAAUUCUCGGUGUAGCAGUGAAAUGCGUAGAUAUCGAGAGGAAUACCAAAGGCGUAGGCAGGUCACUGGACAGUUACUGACACUGAGGCACGAAGGCCAGGGGAGCGAACGGGAUUAGAAACCCUAGUAGUCC